RNAcentral lists this ribosomal RNA (322 nucleotides) under uncultured eukaryote. Its description in RNAcentral is "partial 18S ribosomal RNA". It matches the Rfam family "Eukaryotic small subunit ribosomal RNA", at positions 1470 to 1796 of the family's 1831-position model. The record is from RNAcentral.
CCCUUAGAUGUUCUGGGCCGCACGCGUGCUACACUGAGUGGAUCAGCGGGUCAGGUUGCGCGAAAGCGUUUCCUAAUCUUUAAAUCCGCUCGUGAUGGGGAUUGACGGUUGCAAUUUUCUGUCAUGAACGAGGAAUACCUUGUAAGCGCGGGUCAUCAUCCCGCGCUGAAUACGUCCCUGCCCUUUGUACACACCGCCCGUCGCUCCUACCGAUUGAGUAGUCCGGUGAGGCUUUGGGAUCUGAGCGGAAAGAGCGUUUCGCUGUUUCUGCUCGGAAAACUCAGUCGAACCUUAUCAUUUAGAGGAAGGAGAAGUCGUAACA